Syzygium oleosum is the source of this 1094-nucleotide long non-coding RNA. RefSeq lists it as uncharacterized. The transcript has 6 exons. NCBI's taxonomy places the organism in Eukaryota, Viridiplantae, Streptophyta, Magnoliopsida, Myrtales, Myrtaceae. The record is from RefSeq and is a predicted model, not a curated record.
CGGAGCCCAAAGGGGCGGCGGCUCCUCCCCCCGUCGAGGGCAAGGAGGAGCUCCCCGAGAAAUUAGAGGCGGAGGAGGCGGAGCAAGAGGACCGAGAGAUCGCCGCUCCGGAGGAGGAGGCCGAGGCUUCCGACGAGGAGGCUCUGCUGGUCGCCGCCGAGGCCCCGCCGGCUGCGUCGCCUCCGAGAGGCCAUGCCCGUGAUGUCCAUAUCCUGAGUUGUGGGUUCCUGCUCAUCUUCUCGGCCUACGGUGCUGCUCAGAAUCUCGAGAGCACCGUGAACACCGCGGAUAAUUUGGGCACGACAGGCAACGCAAGUAAAGAAGAAAGGCAGACAGGCAACGCAACAAAGAGAUAUAGAAUCUACAGUAGAGAACAUUAGUGAUUUGGAGGAUGAUCAAAGCCAUCGUGUGGGGAAGUCGCUUUUACACUCAGUGAAGUGGGAGCGCAUUAUUUUGGAUGAGGCUCACUUUGUCAAAGAUAGGCGAUGUAAUACUGCAAAAGCAGUUCUCGGACUGGAGUCUUCAUACAGAUGGGCUUUAAGUGGAACACCUCUUCAAAAUCGUGUUGGGGAGCUCUACUCUCUUGUUACUUUGAGGCGGGAUACACUGGACAUUAGAGAAGAGGAUUAUUACACAUCAUUGUACAAUGAGAGCCAAUCUAACCUUGUGCGGUGUGCAUAUUGAUUGGUAGGUAUUUCACUUUCUUCUCUGGGCUUGUGGGACUUUGAGUAUCGCAUUGUAUGUCAACAAGUGAAUGUCACUUCUUUGGAGGAGGUGAUGAAGCACUUCAUGCAAACCUUAUAGGAGAAAGCAGAGUGGGCGCAAGAUUGGAAGUAUCUUUUCAUACAUAUCGAGGAUAAGCUUUGCUUCAGCAUCUUCAAUGCCAGAAGUGCAGUUGGCCCAAUAUGUUCCUGCCCUGGAAAGAAUUGCCACCCUGAGAUUGCUUAAGCAAGUGCUUUAAAGUGCUCAAGAUUAUUUAUUCUCUCAUUAUGUGUACUAUAAAGAAAAAUAUAUAUGUCAUUCUUGGGGAAAAUGUAGAGGAAUGUAUUUCAUUUUCAUAUUAUUAUAAUAUUUUGAUGUUAUUAAGUGCUUAA